This 253-nucleotide ribosomal RNA is filed under the name uncultured bacterium. RNAcentral's name for it is "partial 16S ribosomal RNA". It matches the Rfam family "Bacterial small subunit ribosomal RNA", at positions 524 to 776 of the family's 1533-position model. The record is from RNAcentral.
UACAGAGGUCUCAAGCGUUGUUCGGAUUCAUUGGGCGUAAAGGGUGCGUAGGCGGCGCGGUAAGUCGGGUGUGAAAGCCCACGGCUCAACCGUGGAGGGUCAUUGGAAACUGGGGGACUUGAGUGCAGGAGAGAAGAGUGGAAUUCCACGUGUAGCGGUGAAAUGCGUAGAGAUGUGGAGGAACACCAGUGGCGAAGGCGACUCUUUGGCCUGUAACUGACGCUGAGGCGCGAAAGCGUGGGGAGCAAACAGG